GGCGGGCCUAACACAUGCAAGUCGAACGAGAAAGGGGCUUCGGCCCCGAGUAAAGUGGCGGACGGGUGAGUAACACGUGGGUAAUCUACCUCUCAGCGGGGGAUAACUAGCCGAAAGGCUAGCUAAUACCGCAUACGUCGGAGGGUCUUGUUCGAAAGAACUGGGGGCCUUCCGGGAAAGCCGGCCACUCCACGGAAGCUGGCACUGAGAGAGGAGCCCGCGGCGCAUCAGCUAGUUGGUGAGGUAAUGGCUCACCAAGGCCGAGACGCGUAGCUGGUCUGAGAGGAUGAUCAGCCACACUGGGACUGAGACACGGCCCAGACUCCUACGGGAGGCAGCAGUGGGGGAAUAUUGGGCAAUGGGCGCAAGCCUGACCCAGCCACGCCGCGUGAGUGAUGAAGGCCUUCGGGUCGUAAAGCUCUGUGGGGAGGGACGAAAGCCCUCUGGCGAAUACCCAGAGGUUUGACGGUACCUCCUUAGCAAGCACCGGCUAACUCCGUGCCAGCAGCCGCGGUAA
RNAcentral lists this ribosomal RNA (517 nucleotides) under uncultured delta proteobacterium. Its description in RNAcentral is "bacterial SSU rRNA". It matches the Rfam family "Bacterial small subunit ribosomal RNA", at positions 41 to 523 of the family's 1533-position model. The record is from RNAcentral. Lineage: Bacteria; Deltaproteobacteria.